AAACUUCUGAAGCCCAGGGUUCCUGUGUGGGAGCCGGGAGUCUUGGUGAGGAAGACGGGAGGUAGGACUUAAUACUGAAGUAUCUAGCUAUUUUAAACGCAGCAUCACCAGGGCAACUUUCAGUAAGAAAUCUGGUAUCACUGUUGAGGAAGACAUAGCACAAGAGGAAGAGAAUGCUCUCAGGUGAGGACUGUGUUAUUUACUUCAUCCUCUUUUUUUGCUGACAUCCUUUGGUCUCCAGAGUUCGGGGGUUACUCUGAAUUCUAGGAACCUUAACGGUUCCUCUCCUCAGCUGCUGUAACCUACUGUAGUGUCCAGAAGAGAAAAGGAAUCUAAGCUCUCAUGACUAUGACUGCCCCCACUCUAGGAAGCAAAGACUCUGUGUGGCAACCACAGCCCAGUCUCCACCUUCAGUUCUCCCUUCAGACACGGAUUCUUUCCCUACAGUUGCCUGUGUGGAGUAAUGGUCUUUUCCCUUUGAUGCAGACUAUGAGCAUUUUUUUUUUUUUUUUUGAGGGAUAGUCUCACUAGCGUGGGAGUCUACCAGCAAACAACCCUAAAACUGCUUUAUAACAGGACACUCACUGGGCCCAACACUUUAGAUCACAGCAGACAAGCCUAGUGCGGCAGCUUUGAAAUCCC
RNAcentral lists this long non-coding RNA (642 nucleotides) under Cricetulus griseus (Chinese hamster). RNAcentral describes it as "lncRNA (ENSCGRG00015041697.1)". Lineage: Eukaryota; Metazoa; Chordata; Mammalia; Rodentia; Cricetidae. The record is from RNAcentral.